AAACAUACAUAAUGCUCAAUAAGUGGUUAUUAAAGGUAUGUAUAUAUAUCUCAGUGGUGUGCGGUGGUGUUCUGAAAUGGAGGCAAAAUCCAAAAAAAAGUUUAUUUUUUUAUUUUUUUAAGGUGCCAUAGAAUGCAAAAAAUCCCUUUUAUAAGGUGUUUGAACACACUUGUUUGGCUGCAGUUUGUGAAAACAACCAGCCUAUAAUGGUAAAAAUCCACCCACUCAUUGUUUUAUAAUCCAAAUAAAUCAUAAACAGUCUCCACACGAGCAGUUCCAGAUUUCUCACUACUAUGAUGUCAUACUCGGGGAAAGUCCUGCCCAUUUGUGACUCUCCCUGCCCUAUUAGCAUAUACACAGCCCUGCGUGAGAAGCUGUGGUCCGCCAUUAUGGUUUUCUUGUUGUAGCUGCUGGAGAUACAAAGUCAGCGCCAAAGAGCCAUUAAAAGUGUGGUGUGUUGGGAUGCUCCAAAGAACAUAGGUGUCUCCACAGAUCACUGAGGAUACGGUGGUUAAAUUUCAUUUUCAAAGGAAAUACCCCGGAAAAAAAGCGGAAAGGUCCUAUACGUUUGUGCUAACAUUUUACGCUGGACUGCCUCACAAGGAGUUGUGCAAAGAUUGCUUCUGAAAGAGCGAUCGAUACCAACACUUCGUGUGCAAACAUCCAGACUCCAGACAAAGCAUUAUUUUACCUUGAUGUACAGUACACCUGCUCCAGCGUCAAAACAAUGGUGGACUGAUGACAGCUCACUCAGGGCGGAUCUAAGGUUUUUGGUGAAUGAUGGCUGUAGGGUCAAUGAGAAAUCAGCGGAGAGCCCUAAAUGUUUAUCCAGGCUGCUGACUGGUGCAAAUAGUCUUCUGGAGCACCAUCAGGUUUCAGGCCAGCUACCCUGCAUGGCUGCACUGCCACUAUAAAUCCACAAGCUGAUUAAACAGUAAAUUUAGCAUGCCUAUCAACUUACCAUUAACCAGG
Cyprinus carpio (common carp) is the source of this 972-nucleotide long non-coding RNA. NCBI's taxonomy places the organism in Eukaryota, Metazoa, Chordata, Actinopteri, Cypriniformes, Cyprinidae. The record is from Ensembl.